CGUUGCUGCAUGAAAAAAUAAUUUAUUAACCCAUCAAUAAUUUAUUAACUUUGAUCUGGUUAGCGUCAAGGUAUGUCUGGGUGUACAUCUAAAUAUCUUAAAAUGGCUUCUUCUCAUCAUUCUCCUUUAUCUGCCCUGAUCUGGACCGACGGGAUAGGUGAAAGCCCUGAUCUGGACCGACGUUGAAAGCCCUGAUCUGGACAGACGGGAUAGGUGAAAGCCCUGAUCUGGACAGACGGGAUAGGUGAAAGCCCUGAUCUGGCCAGACAGGAUAGGUGAAAGCCCUGAUCUGGACAGACAGGAUAGGUGAAAGCAAUUUGACAGAACCCUAAUAGAGGGCUUCCCUUUUCCAGUCCUGUAGAUUUGGAUCAGUGCGGCUGAAGGGAAGAGGUUGACCAAAGGAAGCCACAUUAGACAACUGAGUUGUACCCACAUAGGCUCCUGGUUCUCACCAUUCCCCCAUCGGAUCCAAGGCACUAUGUGACCGACCCCAGGGACCGUAAUAGUGCUAAAUGCUUGACAUGAGCACCUAAUGGGUUAAAAACAGAGCAAACACCAGACGCAUUGACCACAAGUAGCAACACAACCUCUCAUCUGCAGGCCAAUGACAGUAUCAAUUGGUGCUUAUAGGCACUUUUGUCUAAAGACAGUGGAAAACACCUACUGCACAGACAUACAGCAAUUCACAUAUUUCAAAGUACUUUCAAUCAUUUUAGAUGACAAAGCCACAUUUUAAAGCACAAAAAAAACAGUAUUCACUUGACUCCAUGUUAACCCCACAGAACAAAGUUAUACAUGCAGAAUCUGCAUUCAAACCAUUAACUUGUAUUUGCUGAAUAACAGUAAUGUAUUAGCUAGAUGCUUUUGUUUG
Long non-coding RNA from Oncorhynchus tshawytscha (Chinook salmon), 871 nucleotides. Lineage: Eukaryota; Metazoa; Chordata; Actinopteri; Salmoniformes; Salmonidae. The record is from Ensembl.